CCUACGGGCGGCAGCAGUGGGGAAUAAUGGACAAUGGGCGAAAGCCUGAUCCAGCCAUGCCGCGUGUGUGAAGAAGGCCUUCGGGUUGUAAAGCACUUUCAGUGGGGAAGAAAGCCUUGGGGCUAAUACCCUCGAGGAAGGACAUCACCCACAGAAGAAGCACCGGCUAACUCCGUGCCAGCAGCCGCGGUAAUACGGAGGGUGCGAGCGUUAAUCGGAAUUACUGGGCGUAAAGCGCGCGUAGGCGGUCUGAUAAGCCGGUUGUGAAAGCCCCGGGCUCAACCUGGGAACGGCAUCCGGAACUGUCAGGCUAGAGUGCAGGAGAGGAAGGUAGAAUUCCCGGUGUAGCGGUGAAAUGCGUAGAGAUCGGGAGGAAUACCAGUGGCGAAGGCGGCCUUCUGGACUGACACUGACGCUGAGGUGCGAAAGCGUGGGUAGCAAACAGGAUUAGAUACCCGAGUAGUC
RNAcentral lists this ribosomal RNA (465 nucleotides) under Vreelandella stevensii. Its description in RNAcentral is "partial 16S ribosomal RNA". It matches the Rfam family "Bacterial small subunit ribosomal RNA", at positions 338 to 795 of the family's 1533-position model. Lineage: Bacteria; Pseudomonadati; Pseudomonadota; Gammaproteobacteria; Oceanospirillales; Halomonadaceae. The record is from RNAcentral.